CUACCCUUGACUGGGGGAUAGCCCGCCGAAAGGCGGAUUAAUACCGCAUAAGACGAUAGAGGGGCAUCUCUUAGUCGUUAAAGAUUUAUUGGUCAAGGAUGGGGUUGCGUAGCAUUAGCUAGAUGGCGAGGUAACGGCUCACCAUGGCGACGAUGCUUAGGGGAGCUGAGAGGCUGAUCCCCCACACUGGCACUGAGAUACGGGCCAGACUCCUACGGGAGGCAGCAGUAGGGAAUAUUGGGCAAUGGCCGAGAGGCUGACCCAGCCAUGCCGCGUGCCGGAUGAAGGCCUUCUGGGUUGUAAACGGCUUUUCUCAGGGAAGAAAAAGGGGAUGCGUCCUCAACUGACGGUACCUGAGGAAUAAGCACCGGCUAACUCCGUGCCAGCAGCCGCGGUAAUACGGAGGGUGCGAGCGUUGUCCGGAUUUAUUGGGUUUAAAGGGUGCGUANGCGGCCCGUUAAGUCCGGGGUGAAAGCCCACUGCUCAACAGUGGAACUGCCCUGGAUACUGGCGGGCUUGAGUCCAGACGAGGUUGGCGGAAUA
This 543-nucleotide ribosomal RNA is filed under the name unidentified microorganism. Its description in RNAcentral is "bacterial SSU rRNA". It matches the Rfam family "Bacterial small subunit ribosomal RNA", at positions 126 to 668 of the family's 1533-position model. The record is from RNAcentral.